This is a non-coding RNA of Amborella trichopoda, 1915 nucleotides long. Lineage: Eukaryota; Viridiplantae; Streptophyta; Magnoliopsida; Amborellales; Amborellaceae. The record is from RefSeq and is a predicted model, not a curated record.
CAAUUAGAGACAUUACACCCUCGUAUAAACUUUUUCCGUAUACAUAUAAGAAAGCUAAGAUACGCCCACUCGCGUAUGGGAUGAGGUAGGCCAACGGCUACGAUGAAAGAAGGGUAAAUCGAUGGCUGUGAUGGGGGAGGCUUAAAAUCAAUUUGAAGCCUGUAACAACGUGUCCACUCCGCACUUUUCUCUUUCAAUCAUACCACCCGUGGCAUCUCCCGUCGCCCUCUCAAUAUUGUCCCACCUGUCACACCCACCCCGUCGCUCGCUCUCUCUCUCUCUCUCUCGCCACCGAAAGGCAGGAAUCAUUUGAGCGAUACUAAGUAGAGUUACCGAAUCUUGAUGAAGUGCGUCGGCUAUUUCUUUCUUGGCUUUUCCACCAUUUCAAUUGGCGGUGGGGACUGUGGAAGGAUAUAUGAACGACAGAGAUUUUCACCAUGAAUGGAGGCCAAGGAGCCGAAGCCCUUGAGGAAGAAGGUAGAGUCCUGGUCCGAGGAGGGAUAGGAGCUCAGUUAGAGAGGGAAGUGCUGAGAGGAGAGCCAAGAUUGAGCAAUGGAACCUAGAGAGAGAGAGAGCAGAAGAGCACUGACAUUGGUAACUCUCUUCAAAAUGGAGAUGAUCAGUAGAAAUGGCAAAACAACCACUAAAUUGGUUUGUCCCUUCUACUCUUGAACUGAAUUUUCUUUUGCUUUCUCUUUUAAUUUUUUUUUACUGAGCUCGAAAGUUUAAUGGUUAUUGUUGCCAACCCUCGUCAGUUUAAAAUCCCAGAUUGGUUCCUUAAUAGAAAGUAGGAUUACAAAUAUGGCAGGUUCUCUCAGGUGGGGUCAAAUGCAUUGGACAUGAAGCUGAGGGAUGAUCUCGAGCGGUUUUGAAGAUCAGUUGUGUGGUGUGCAGGUCCCUCUGUUUUGUGAUAUCAAAUGUGAAUUUUUCCAUUGGGUUUCUGAUUUUUCGUUCAUCAGACCAGUUCUUUUGUUUCUUCCUAUGCUUUGUAUCUUUUGCCCUCACUUUGUGGACACAGGAAUGGAUCUCUGACCACGUUUUUAGGCAAUCCAUGGAAUGCAUGUGUUAGUUGGCUUAUUGAUCAAGGAUGCCUAAUAUUUCUAUUGUCAUGCAUGUGUCUGUAUUGUUUGAGCUGCCCACCAUGUACUAAGCAUUUUAGCCAUAGACUAAACCUUUUUGCUAUGGCCAUACAGAGCUCAUUCACUGUGGACUAACCAUAUUUAUCAUGGCAAUGAGAGCUUAUCUGUUGAAUUUCGCCUUGUUCCUUAAGAAUCAGGGUUUUGUUGGAGUUUUUCCCAUGGCCAUAAGAACUGGUCGAAUCUGGCCUCGUCCCCAAAAACAUUUAGGGCUUUGGAUGAGUUUUCUCCAUUGCCUUUGAUGUUUCAUCUUCCCAGUUACAUGGGGACAUUUGCAUAGAAGAACUCGGGUAACUCUGCACUUUCACUGGGCAUCACUACAUGUCUGGUUUUUGUGAAUUUUGAAAAUCUUUUGUGCUUAUGCUUUUCCAUUGAGUUUUUGCAAGUUCACGUAUCGCUGAUCCUAAGGAUCAAUUAUUUUUAUGCAGCUUUAUAUGCAAUUUUUUUACAGGUUGGGUGCAUUGGCCAUGCAUAUAAGGCCGAAUGCAGAAGAGAGGUCGUAAAAUGAACCCCGGCAGUUGGCGGUCUUUUAAUUAGGUAUGCAAUAAUCUUAUAGUACAAAUUUCCCCAAAAAGGGUAUCAUCUUAUGCUGCAGGUUUGGUGUAGCAAGAAGAGACUUCAAAAUCAUGGUUACUGUGUUUUUCUCAGAUUUGUAAUAUGAGCUUUCAUUUUGCAAGUUUGUAGUUACACAUGAGCUUCAUAUAAGAGUGGUUGAGUGGCUUGUAUAUCUCUUUAGAAAGGUACUUCUGUUGAAUGGAAAUGGUGCAAGCUUUCUUUAA